This 802-nucleotide ribosomal RNA is filed under the name Bacillus zhangzhouensis. RNAcentral describes it as "bacterial SSU rRNA". It matches the Rfam family "Bacterial small subunit ribosomal RNA", at positions 49 to 835 of the family's 1533-position model. Lineage: Bacteria; Bacillati; Bacillota; Bacilli; Caryophanales; Bacillaceae. The record is from RNAcentral.
CUAUACAUGCAGUCGAGCGGACAGAAGGGAGCUUGCUCCCGGAUGUUAGCGGCGGACGGGUGAGUAACACGUGGGUAACCUGCCUGUAAGACUGGGAUAACUCCGGGAAACCGGAGCUAAUACCGGAUAGUUCCUUGAACCGCAUGGUUCAAGGAUGAAAGACGGUUUCGGCUGUCACUUACAGAUGGACCCGCGGCGCAUUAGCUAGUUGGUGGGGUAAUGGCUCACCAAGGCGACGAUGCGUAGCCGACCUGAGAGGGUGAUCGGCCACACUGGGACUGAGACACGGCCCAGACUCCUACGGGAGGCAGCAGUAGGGAAUCUUCCGCAAUGGACGAAAGUCUGACGGAGCAACGCCGCGUGAGUGAUGAAGGUUUUCGGAUCGUAAAGCUCUGUUGUUAGGGAAGAACAAGUGCGAGAGUAACUGCUCGCACCUUGACGGUACCUAACCAGAAAGCCACGGCUAACUACGUGCCAGCAGCCGCGGUAAUACGUAGGUGGCAAGCGUUGUCCGGAAUUAUUGGGCGUAAAGGGCUCGCAGGCGGUUUCUUAAGUCUGAUGUGAAAGCCCCCGGCUCAACCGGGGAGGGUCAUUGGAAACUGGGAAACUUGAGUGCAGAAGAGGAGAGUGGAAUUCCACGUGUAGCGGUGAAAUGCGUAGAGAUGUGGAGGAACACCAGUGGCGAAGGCGACUCUCUGGUCUGUAACUGACGCUGAGGAGCGAAAGCGUGGGGAGCGAACAGGAUUAGAUACCCUGGGAGUCCACGCCGUAAACGAUGAGUGCUAANAGUUAAGGGGGUUCC